RNAcentral lists this ribosomal RNA (315 nucleotides) under uncultured eukaryote. RNAcentral describes it as "partial 18S ribosomal RNA". It matches the Rfam family "Eukaryotic small subunit ribosomal RNA", at positions 1470 to 1796 of the family's 1831-position model. The record is from RNAcentral.
CCCUUAGAUGUCCUGGGCCGCACGCGUGCUACACUGACACUUACACCGAGUUUUUCCAAUGCCGAAAGGCCAUUGGUAAUCAGCAAUAAGUGUCGUGAUGGGGAUAGAUCUUUGGAAUUAUUGAUCUUGAACGAGGAAUGCCUAGUAAUCGUAGGUCAUCAGCCUGCGAUGAUUACGUCCCUGCCCUUUGUACACACCGCCCGUCGCUCCUACCGAUUUCGAGUGGUUCGGUGAACCUUUCGGACCGGCAAUGCCUCGUGUUGCGCCGGAAAGUCAAGUAAACCAUNUNACUUAUNGGAAGGAGAANUCGUANCA